AACAUCUAAAAAAAUAAUAUACGGUAAUAUACAUAUGCACGUAGUGUUCUAUUCCAUUUCACUGAAACAGUAUAGAACCCUACCCCCAAUUCAUAAAUACGAAACUCUAAACCCUAAUUACUAAACUCUAAUUAUUAAACUCUAAACUCAAAUAUAAAUUAUAGACCCAAGUAUAAAUCAUAAACCUAAAUAGAAUUGAACAAAAUACAUAGCAUAGUACAUAUUAGUGAAAUUAUGAAACAUAUAUGAUUUCAUGGAAUAAGUUAAUGUU
RNAcentral lists this long non-coding RNA (271 nucleotides) under Brassica napus (rape). RNAcentral's name for it is "long non-coding RNA (BNAP_LNC018862)". Lineage: Eukaryota; Viridiplantae; Streptophyta; Magnoliopsida; Brassicales; Brassicaceae. The record is from RNAcentral.